GAUGGAGAGAAUUAAAGAUAGAAACACGUAGGAACAUUGAGAGAGAGAAAAAAAGUGAGAGAGAGAUUAGAGCGAGAGGGGAGUGGGUAGGCGACGGAUUAGAGCGAGAAAAAGUUUAGGAUGGAGAGAAUUAAAGAUAGAAACACGUAGAAACAUUGAGAGAGAGAAAAAGUGAGAGAGAGAUUAGAGCGAGAGGGGAGUGGGUAGGUGACGGAUUAGAGCGAGAAAA
Long non-coding RNA from Portunus trituberculatus (swimming crab), 229 nucleotides. RefSeq lists it as uncharacterized. The record is from RefSeq and is a predicted model, not a curated record. NCBI's taxonomy places the organism in Eukaryota, Metazoa, Arthropoda, Malacostraca, Decapoda, Portunidae. The transcript has 2 exons.